GACGCUUGGGACGAAACUAAUAUU
Molecule: non-coding RNA, 24 nt
Filed under: Arabidopsis thaliana (thale cress)
Lineage: Eukaryota; Viridiplantae; Streptophyta; Magnoliopsida; Brassicales; Brassicaceae
Source: RNAcentral